Molecule: transfer RNA, 57 nt
Filed under: Parabathippus shelfordi
Lineage: Eukaryota; Metazoa; Arthropoda; Arachnida; Araneae; Salticidae
Description: tRNA-Cys
Source: RNAcentral
AACUAUAUAGUUUAUAUAAAACACUAAAUUGCAAAUUUAAUUAUUAAAUCAUAAGAU